RNAcentral lists this ribosomal RNA (200 nucleotides) under uncultured bacterium. RNAcentral's name for it is "partial 16S ribosomal RNA". It matches the Rfam family "Bacterial small subunit ribosomal RNA", at positions 32 to 216 of the family's 1533-position model. The record is from RNAcentral.
AAUCAACGCUGGCGGCGUGCCUAACACAUGCAAGUCGAACGCGAAAGGGGCUUCGGCCCUGAGUAGAGUGGCGAACGGGUGAGUAACACGUGGGUGACCUGCCUUCGAGUGGGGGAUAACGUUUCGAAAGGAACGCUAAUACCGCAUGACAUCCUGCCUUUGAAGAGGCGGUGAUUAAAGCUGGGGUCGCAAGACCUGGC